This 797-nucleotide ribosomal RNA is filed under the name Nectria dematiosa. RNAcentral describes it as "eukaryotic LSU rRNA". It matches the Rfam family "Eukaryotic large subunit ribosomal RNA", at positions 99 to 927 of the family's 3401-position model. The record is from RNAcentral. Lineage: Eukaryota; Fungi; Ascomycota; Sordariomycetes; Hypocreales; Nectriaceae.
CGGCAACAGCUCAAAUUUGAAAUCUGGCCCUUGUGGUCCGAGUUGUAAUUUGUAGAGGAUGCUUUUGGUGAGGUACCUUCCGAGUUCCCUGGAACGGGACGCCAUAGAGGGUGAGAGCCCCGUCUGGUUGGAUACCGAGCCUCUGUAAAGCUCCUUCGACGAGUCGAGUAGUUUGGGAAUGCUGCUCUAAAUGGGAGGUAUAUGUCUUCUAAAGCUAAAUAUUGGCCAGAGACCGAUAGCGCACAAGUAGAGUGAUCGAAAGAUGAAAAGCACUUUGAAAAGAGGGUUAAAUAGUACGUGAAAUUGUUGAAAGGGAAGCGCUUGUGACCAGACUUGGGCUUGGUUAAUCAUCCAGGGUUCUCCCUGGUGCACUUGGCCAGCCCAGGCCAGCAUCAGUUUGUCGCGGGGGAUAAAGGCGUCGGGAAUGUGGCUCCCCCGGGAGUGUUAUAGCCCUUCGUGUAAUACCCUGCUUUAGACUGAGGUUCGCGCAUCUGCAAGGAUGCUGGCGUAAUGGUCAUCAGCGACCCGUCUUGAAACACGGACCAAGGAGUCGUCUUCGUAUGCGAGUGUUCGGGUGUCAAACCCCUACGCGUAAUGAAAGUGAACGCAGGUGAGAGCUUCGGCGCAUCAUCGACCGAUCCUGAUGUUCUCGGAUGGAUUUGAGUAAGAGCAUACGGGGCCGGACCCGAAAGAAGGUGAACUAUGCCUGUGUAGGGUGAAGCCAGAGGAAACUCUGGUGGAGGCUCGCAGCGGUUCUGACGUGCAAAUCGAUCGUCAAACAUGGGCAUGGGGGCGAA